RNAcentral lists this ribosomal RNA (675 nucleotides) under Triticum aestivum (bread wheat). RNAcentral describes it as "partial small subunit ribosomal RNA". The record is from RNAcentral. Lineage: Eukaryota; Viridiplantae; Streptophyta; Magnoliopsida; Poales; Poaceae.
AUGGAGUGGCAGAGGAUCUACUGGCAACAAAGAUCUACCAUUAGGUGGGUCAAAUUUGGAGAAGCUAAUUCAAAGUAUUUUCAAGCAAAGGCCACAAUUAAAUACAGAGCGAACCACAUUGAUAGUCUGCAAGACGAGGCUGGUAAUAUUUGCAGGGAACAUAAUGUAAAGGCUAGUAUCCUCUUAAAUGCUUUCAAAAAAAGGCUUAGCACAUCCACUCCUACUUUUAAUAUCCUCGAAUUGGACACUUUGGUUGAUAGAACUACUGAUCUAACAGUUCUGGAGCAACCUUUCUCUAAAGCUGAAAUUGAUAGAGUGCUUCAGAAUCUGCCUGCUGAUAAAGCCCCUGGGCCUGAUGGUUUCAACACUGAUUUUGUUAAAUUCUGUUGGGACAUCAUUUCCCCAGAUUUCUAUGCAUUGAUAGAUGAUUUCUUCAAAGGAACCAUCAGUUUGCAGAGCAUCAACAUUUCUUAUAUUACACUCAUUCCAAAGAAAGAUGCACCAGCUACACCAAAUGACUCCAGGCCCAUUUCUCUACUCAACUGUUCCAUAAAGAUUAUCACCAAGCUACUUGCCAACGGACUACAGAUAGUAAUUCUGAAGCUGGUUCAUACAAAUCAAUAUGGGUUCCUUAAAUCAAGAUCUAUCCAGGAUUGCUUGGCCCUGGGCUUAUGA